CAGCCGCCGCGGUAAUACGUAUGGGGCAAGCGUUAUCCGGAAUUAUUGGGCGUAAAGAGUGCGUAGGUGGUUACCUAAGCGCAAGGUUUAAUCUUGAGGCUCAACCUCAUUCUGCCUUGCGAACUGGGCUACUUGAGUGCAGGAGGGGAAAGCGGAAUUCCCAGUGUAGCGGUGAAAUGCGUAGAUAUUGGGAAGAACACCGGUGGCGAAGGCGGCUUUCUGGACUGUAACUGACACUGAGGCACGAAAGCGUGGGGAGCAAACAGGAUUAGAUACCCUGGUAGUCCACGCCGUAAACGAUGAGCACUAGUUGUUGGGUACGAAUGUAUUCAGUGACGCAGUUAACGCAAUAAGUGCUCCGCCUGGGGAGUACGGUGGCAACACUAAAACUCAAAGGAAUUGACGGGGACCCGCACAAGCAGCGGAGCAUGUGGUUUAAUUCGAAGCAACGCGAAAAACCUUACCAGGGCUUGACAUCCCUCUGACCGGAUCCUAACCGAUCCUUUCUUCGGACAGAGGUGACAGGUGGUGCAUGGCC
This 538-nucleotide ribosomal RNA is filed under the name uncultured archaeon. RNAcentral describes it as "bacterial SSU rRNA". It matches the Rfam family "Bacterial small subunit ribosomal RNA", at positions 509 to 1050 of the family's 1533-position model. The record is from RNAcentral.